RNAcentral lists this ribosomal RNA (750 nucleotides) under Dracograllus ngakei. Its description in RNAcentral is "eukaryotic LSU rRNA". It matches the Rfam family "Eukaryotic large subunit ribosomal RNA", at positions 362 to 942 of the family's 3401-position model. Lineage: Eukaryota; Metazoa; Nematoda; Chromadorea; Desmodorida; Draconematidae. The record is from RNAcentral.
AAUUGCAAAGAACUUUGAAGAGAGAGUUCAAGAGGGCGUGAAACCGCUUGGAAGCAAACGGAUGGACCUGACGUAGAGCCAUUGGGAUUCAUCCCACUACUGUACCUCAGCCUGCCGACUGAUCUUCUGACAGCCUGGUGGGUCUUGGUGUGCACAGUGGGUGCAUUUCCUAGUGGUGUGCAUCGGGGCCUGUGAUGGCGCUGGAAUAAAGGUGGAGGCUAGCCGGCCAACUUCGGUUGGUGUCCCAGUCCUGCCUAGAACCGGGUCGCUGUCACAGGGAUUCUGUGGGUGUCCGCCUACUCUAAGUGGCUGUGAGCUUGUUUGGACCUAACUGUGGGGUUGUGCUUGCACGGCUCUGCGACCCCCAGAUGAGCGAGUGGUCCCUGUAGAGCAGACACCCUCCCCUGGUGUUUUAGUCAGUCACCCAUCCGACCCGUCUUGAAACACGGACCAAGGAGUCUAACAUGUGCGCGAGUCACUGGGUUGCAACACCCAAGGGCGCAAUGAAAGUAAAGUYUGGUUCGGCCGGACGACAUGGGAUCCUUCCCUUUGGGGUCGGAGCACCAUGGUCCCGUCUAUGCUGCAUUGUCAGUGGGGCGGAGAUAGAGCGUACACGUUGGGACCCGAAAGAUGGUGAACUAUGCCUGAGCAGGAUGAAGCCAGAGGAAACUCUGGUGGAGGUCCAUAGCGAUUCUGACGUGCAAAUCGAUCGUCGGACUUGGGUAUAGGGGCGAAAGACUAAUCGAACCA